RNAcentral lists this ribosomal RNA (253 nucleotides) under uncultured bacterium. Its description in RNAcentral is "partial 16S ribosomal RNA". It matches the Rfam family "Bacterial small subunit ribosomal RNA", at positions 524 to 776 of the family's 1533-position model. The record is from RNAcentral.
UACAGAGGUCCCAAGCGUUGUUCGGAUUCACUGGGCGUAAAGGGUGCGUAGGCGGUCGGGUAAGUCUUAUGUGAAAUCUACAGGCUCAACUUGUAGUCUGCAUGAGAAACUGCCGGGCUUGAGUAUGGGAGAGGUGAGUGGAAUUCCUGGUGUAGCGGUGAAAUGCGUAGAUAUCAGGAGGAACACCUGUGGCGAAAGCGGCUCACUGGACCAUAACUGACGCUGAUGCACGAAAGCUAGGGGAGCAAACAGG